RNAcentral lists this ribosomal RNA (500 nucleotides) under uncultured bacterium. RNAcentral's name for it is "partial 16S ribosomal RNA". It matches the Rfam family "Bacterial small subunit ribosomal RNA", at positions 28 to 507 of the family's 1533-position model. The record is from RNAcentral.
GACGAACGCUGGCGGCGUGCUUAACACAUGCAAGUCGAACGGGUCUGCCCUGUUUUUUGCGGGGUGGGUCAGUGGCGAACGGGUGAGUAACACGUGAGUAACCUGCCCCUCACUUCUGGAUAACCGCUUGAAAGGGUGGCUAAUACGGGGUGUUCUGGCUGUGCCGCAUGGUGUGGCUGGGAAAGAUUCACUUUUGUGGUGUUUUGGUGGGGGAUGGGCUCGCGGCCUAUCAGCUUGUUGGUGGGGUGAUGGCCUGCCAAGGCUUUGACGGGUAGCCGGCCUGAGAGGGUGGGCGGUCACACUGGGACUGAGAUACGGCCCGGACUCCGGCGGGAGGCAGCAGUGGGGGGUAUUGCACAAUGGGCGGAAGCCUGAUGCAGCGACGUCGCGUGAGGGAUGGAGGCCUUCGGGUUGUGAACCUCUUUCGCCGGUGAAGAAGGUCCUGCUCUUUGUGGUGGGGUUGACGGUAGCCGGGUUAUGAAGCGCCGGCUAACUACGUG